This 1351-nucleotide ribosomal RNA is filed under the name Staphylococcus aureus. RNAcentral describes it as "bacterial SSU rRNA". It matches the Rfam family "Bacterial small subunit ribosomal RNA", at positions 100 to 1438 of the family's 1533-position model. Lineage: Bacteria; Bacillati; Bacillota; Bacilli; Caryophanales; Staphylococcaceae. The record is from RNAcentral.
GACGGGUGAGUAACACGUGGAUAACCUACCUAUAAGACUGGGAUAACUUCGGGAAACCGGAGCUAAUACCGGAUAAUAUUUUGAACCGCAUGGUUCAAAAGUGAAAGACGGUCUUGCUGUCACUUAUAGAUGGAUCCGCGCUGCAUUAGCUAGUUGGUAAGGUAACGGCUUACCAAGGCAACGAUGCAUAGCCGACCUGAGAGGGUGAUCGGCCACACUGGAACUGAGACACGGUCCAGACUCCUACGGGAGGCAGCAGUAGGGAAUCUUCCGCAAUGGGCGAAAGCCUGACGGAGCAACGCCGCGUGAGUGAUGAAGGUCUUCGGAUCGUAAAACUCUGUUAUUAGGGAAGAACAUAUGUGUAAGUAACUGUGCACAUCUUGACGGUACCUAAUCAGAAAGCCACGGCUAACUACGUGCCAGCAGCCGCGGUAAUACGUAGGUGGCAAGCGUUAUCCGGAAUUAUUGGGCGUAAAGCGCGCGUAGGCGGUUUUUUAAGUCUGAUGUGAAAGCCCACGGCUCAACCGUGGAGGGUCAUUGGAAACUGGAAAACUUGAGUGCAGAAGAGGAAAGUGGAAUUCCAUGUGUAGCGGUGAAAUGCGCAGAGAUAUGGAGGAACACCAGUGGCGAAGGCGACUUUCUGGUCUGUAACUGACGCUGAUGUGCGAAAGCGUGGGGAUCAAACAGGAUUAGAUACCCUGGUAGUCCACGCCGUAAACGAUGAGUGCUAAGUGUUAGGGGGUUUCCGCCCCUUAGUGCUGCAGCUAACGCAUUAAGCACUCCGCCUGGGGAGUACGACCGCAAGGUUGAAACUCAAAGGAAUUGACGGGGACCCGCACAAGCGGUGGAGCAUGUGGUUUAAUUCGAAGCAACGCGAAGAACCUUACCAAAUCUUGACAUCCUUUGACAACUCUAGAGAUAGAGCCUUCCCCUUCGGGGGACAAAGUGACAGGUGGUGCAUGGUUGUCGUCAGCUCGUGUCGUGAGAUGUUGGGUUAAGUCCCGCAACGAGCGCAACCCUUAAGCUUAGUUGCCAUCAUUAAGUUGGGCACUCUAAGUUGACUGCCGGUGACAAACCGGAGGAAGGUGGGGAUGACGUCAAAUCAUCAUGCCCCUUAUGAUUUGGGCUACACACGUGCUACAAUGGACAAUACAAAGGGCAGCGAAACCGUGAGGUCAAGCAAAUCCCAUAAAGUUGUUCUCAGUUCGGAUUGUAGUCUGCAACUCGACUACAUGAAGCUGGAAUCGCUAGUAAUCGUAGAUCAGCAUGCUACGGUGAAUACGUUCCCGGGUCUUGUACACACCGCCCGUCACACCUCGAGAGUUUGUAACACCCGAAGCCGGUGGAGUAA